UUAGAUGCAAAGGAAGAGGCCGUCUCCCUCUCUCCAUCUCUCCCCGAACCUCUUCUGCCCAUUGGCUCGUGUUCCUCCUCCGUCUCCUUCGUCUCAGUACUCCCCCAACUCUCCAUGGCCUAUUCUAAUGUAAUCGAUUUUUCUUUGUUAGAGUUGAAGUGGACGAUCUAUUAAGAAUAAGGCUAUUGUAUACGUGCAUCUAGAGGUCAAUCGAGUCAGCUUUCCUCCAAUGCCUCUUUUCUCUCCCACAAUCUAAUGAGAUUUUUUGUUUUGGUUUUUGGUCGAUUUGAAGUGCACAUUCGAUCAGGAGGCUAUAUCCUGGAUGUUGAGGUCGAGCCAUCAUUCUUGCUCUUUUCUCACCAUGAUCUAAUGGAAUUAUUUUAGAGUUCAAGUGCAGGUUAGAUCUGAAGGAUGUGUACGUGCAUGUUCAGGACCUUCAGGCUUCGGCUCAAUUGAUCAUGCUUUCUACCGUGUGCAUCUCAUCGAGGAACUACGUGCUAGCGCGUCACGAAGGAAUCAAUCCAACUUGCGCCGUCGUGCCGUUACUGCCGCUCUGCUAGUGAUGUGCAACCAGUGCAACUCGGGGUAUAUUACCUUCACCGGUGCAAGAACCUACGAGGUUGUCGGCAACCAUGUUCCUUUAAUCUUGAUUGAGGCCGCCGCUCCAUCUUGGCUUACGCAUGCGAAUACCUGACUCACACUCCAAACCCUAUUCAAGUUCAUCUCCUGACCUAGACCUAAGAAGUCAGCUUGAUCCAUAAUGUUUUAUCAAGAAAAACUAGCUUUUUCCAUGUCUAUCUUUCAGCACUUCUCUUUAUCAGAUUACAUGUUUUGGGGAGUGGAGGAAAACCAGCUAGGAGCUCGGCAUUGCCUAAAGUGGCACGCAUGCAAUUAUAUGUUUUGGGGAGUGGAGGAGAAACAGCUAGGAGCUCGGCAUCGCCUAAAGUGGCACCCAUGCUAUUACAUGAUUUGGGGAGUGGAGGAAAACCAGCUAGGAGCUCGGCAUUGCCUAAAGUGACACACAUGCAGUAAGUUUUUGUUAAACUGCAUCUACAUCAACCAGCCAUGAGCCCGUUUACGUACAUUGUUUAUAGGAAGCUGUACGCAGAUGUCUUCCAAUGCUACCUGUUUUGUUAGUCAAAAGAGUUAGUUGACCGUUCCUAUGGAGAGAUUUUUGAUUUUUUAUGUUAUUUCCUCUGAGUAAACGCUAAUUGUUAGAUUAUCUGCAUGGUACCACGUUAUAUAUAUUAUACAAUUCUGUCUUUCGGUCUUAAAAGCGUGAUGCUUACAUUUAAGUUUUACAAACUUAACAAAUUUCUCAAAAUUAAUACAGUGCAUAAUCUUUUGGUAGAUCAGUAGUAAGAUUCUAAAACUGUUGCCCAUGCAAAAAUUGAACUAACGUUUUAUCAAGAAAAACUAGCUUUUCCAUGUCUAUCUUUCAACACUUCUCUUCUCUUUAUCAUAUUAUAUGUUUUGGGGCGUGGAGGAGAAACAGCUAGGAGCUCGGCAUCGCCUAAAGUGGCACCCAUGCUAUAAGUUUUUCUAAACUGCAUCUACAAACUUAACAAAUUUCUCAAAAUUAUUUCUAAUACAGUGCAUAAUCUUUCAUUGGUAGAUCAGUAGUAAGAUUCUAAAACUGUUUCCCAUGCAAAAAUUAAACUAAAUGUAUCACGUAUUUAGUUAUACAAGUACAUGCACACAAGACGUACAUUUAUUGUACUCGAAAGAGGAUCCAGAUGUAUGUUUUUGUAGUAUUAAACAUUGAUCAUCCAAAAAAUUCCGGCAAUUAUAAUCAUUAAAUUCAUAUUUCAUAGGAUUGUUAUGCAUGACCUUUUCUCUGCAAUUACAGUGUUCAGAUUUUAGAGAUGCUAGCUUUGUUAACAUAUUUUUAGCUAUGAUAUCAACAUGCCCAUUUAGUGAAUUCAGUAUUUGAUAUGGGGAGCUAUGUGCAUUGAUAAUCAUCCAAUAUUGUAAGCUAAAUAUGUUUUUACCAAAUUAGCAGAUUAAUGUGUUCCACUGUGCGCAGCUGAAUGCUUAGAGUACAUGCAUGGCACUAUAUCUACUUCUGAAGACAGUAUUCCAGACUAGGAACCAUAAAAACUAUCAUGUGACCAAACUUAAGCACUCCAUACUAUUUGUAAUUAAGUAGAUUGCAAAUAUGAUGUAUAAUCCUCAUCUAAAAUUUUCAAGUGAUUUUAUCGACAUCCAAUUUCAGGAUGGUCGUUUUAUUGAUCACAAUUUUGGUUUAUGUAGGUAUGGAAUCUAUUCGCCUCUCUCCAUAGGUUUCUACCUCUCUGAAUGCCUCUUCCUAUUUUCACAUAAUUAAAUCAUAUUUUGUUGGGGAAAACCAAUCUAUAUAUCCGUUGUUUCUCUGUGCGAUGCACAUGCUCUUACGUUUGUUUUUUUGACUGAUUCUACAUUGUUUUGUUGCAAUACUUACAAAACUCAAGUAUAAUUAUUUGAAAUUAUCCAGUACAUCUUUUAUAUGUCCUCUUGCAUAGUGGAUUAAUCCAGAACCUAAACUGAUGAUUAAUAUGGAACCUAUAUUGGGCUAUUUCUCUGAAGAAGGCUAGGCGACCUGAACUUUUAGAUUGGGUUCCAAAGAAGUUACUGAAUGAUCUUUCAGUUUCAUACCAAGCUGAAAUAAUGUAGCACUAUGACACUAAUACUUUGCAGAUUUCUACCGUACAACAUGAUUAAAUUUAGUCUGUUACUACUACAUACAUGUAACCACUAUAUUGUUUUCUGUAUGUAAAUGACAUGUACAGAUGUCGUUGUGACUGAACCAUCCAUUUCCACAUUACCAGCCCAAGGCUUCCAUCGUAACACUCUAUAGGUAUCCGUCUACUGUCCUAUAUCUACACACAAGCUCCUCUCAUAGAUUGACUCCACUGACUGUGACCAAUCAUGUUUGUGGCCAUGAUGCAGACAUUUUCUCUCACAAGAGCUCUUCUUAAUACCUUUAUAUGAUACAUUUAGAUGCUACUUUUCUUAUAGAUGUAUUGGUUUCUUCAGCUUCCAUUGACUGCUGCCUUACAGAGAUCUGAUGGUUCGGUGGCUUGAGUCGCUUAUUUUGGAACGGAGGGAGUAGUUCAUAAAAAUCGAUCUCAUAAUUACAUAAAUUUAUAUCUAUUACAUUGAUGCCCCUAUAUGUUUCCUUGACAGUUUCAAUACAAGUUUGUUUCCUACAUACAUGGAGAUUCAUCAUGGCCGCUUGCUGGAAAUAGUAGAACAAACCUCAUGUAAUCAGUCACCAUCAAGAUAUUUACAAAUUAUGUACAUAGUUAUUUAUGGAUGAUUAUUGCGAUUGGCAUAUUUCACGCAGUUAGUGCAUACCUCACACUAUGUCGAAUAUUUUUCUACAGAUGGUCUCACUACUAUUUCUUAAAGACGACCACGUUGUCCAUCAGAUCUUUCUCUUUCCCUCCAUAAUACUCGAUGUGGUUGAUCAUUUGAUAAGUGAUCCAAAUGGAUUAAUUGAUUAGA
Triticum aestivum (bread wheat) is the source of this 3486-nucleotide long non-coding RNA. RefSeq lists it as uncharacterized. The transcript is spliced from 3 exons. Lineage: Eukaryota; Viridiplantae; Streptophyta; Magnoliopsida; Poales; Poaceae. The record is from RefSeq and is a predicted model, not a curated record.